RNAcentral lists this ribosomal RNA (253 nucleotides) under uncultured bacterium. RNAcentral's name for it is "partial 16S ribosomal RNA". It matches the Rfam family "Bacterial small subunit ribosomal RNA", at positions 524 to 776 of the family's 1533-position model. The record is from RNAcentral.
UACGGAGGGAGCUAGCGUUGUUCGGAAUUACUGGGCGUAAAGCGCGCGUAGGCGGCCAGGUAGGUCUGCUGUGAAAACUCGAGGCUUAACCUCGAGCUGUCGGCGGAAACCAUCUGGCUAGAGUCCGGAAGAGGAGAAUGGAAUUCCCGGUGUAGCGGUGAAAUGCGCAGAUAUCAGGAGGAACACCGAUGGCGAAGGCGGGUCUCUGGACAGUUCCUGACACUGAGACACGAAGGCCAGGGGAGCAAACGGG